This 432-nucleotide ribosomal RNA is filed under the name uncultured bacterium. RNAcentral describes it as "partial 16S ribosomal RNA". It matches the Rfam family "Bacterial small subunit ribosomal RNA", at positions 338 to 795 of the family's 1533-position model. The record is from RNAcentral.
CCUACGGGGGGCAGCAGUGGGGAAUAUUGCACAAUGGGCGAAAGCCUGAUGCAGCGACGCCGCGUGAGGGAUGACGGCCUUCGGGUUGUAAACCUCUUUCGACAGGGACGCGGUACCUGUAGAAGAAGCACCGGCCAACUACGUGCCAGCAGCCGCGGUAAUACGUAGGGUGCGAGCGUUGUCCGGAAUUACUGGGCGUAAAGAGCUUGUAGGCGGUUUGUCGCGUCUUCUGUGAAAACUCACAGCUCAACUGUGAGCUUGCAGGGGAUACGGGCAGACUAGAGUACUUCAGGGGAGACUGGAAUUCCUGGUGUAGCGGUGAAAUGCGCAGAUAUCAGGAGGAACACCGGUGGCGAAGGCGGGUCUCUGGGAAGUACUGACGCUGAGAAGCGAAAGCGUGGGUAGCGAACAGGAUUAGAUACCCUUGUAGUC